RNAcentral lists this ribosomal RNA (459 nucleotides) under uncultured bacterium. Its description in RNAcentral is "partial 16S ribosomal RNA". It matches the Rfam family "Bacterial small subunit ribosomal RNA", at positions 338 to 795 of the family's 1533-position model. The record is from RNAcentral.
CCUACGGGUGGCAGCAGUGAGGAAUCUUGGUCAAUGGGCGCGAGCCUGAACCAGCCAAGUCGCGUGAGGGAAGACGGGUCUAUGGAUUGUAAACCUCUUUUAUCGGGGAGCAAAAGAAGCCACUCGUGGCGCUCCGAGAGUACCCGAAGAACAAGCAUCGGCAAACUGCGUGACAGCAGCCGCGGUAAUACGGAGGAUGCGAGCGUUAUCCGGAUUUAGUGGGUUUAAAGGGUGCGCAGGUGGAUGAUAAAGUCAGCGGUAAAAUUGAGGGGGUCAACCUCUUCGAGCCGUUGAAACUGGUUGUCGUGAGUGAGUGAGAAGUAUGCGGAAUGCGUGGUGUAGCGGUGAAAUGCAUAGAUAUCACGCAGAACUCCGGUGGCGAAGGCAGCAUACCGGCGAUCAACUGACGCUCAGGCACGAAAGUGUGGGUAUCGAACAGGAUUAGAUACCCCAGUAGUC